GCACAAGCAGCACCCUUCUGCAGAAUUUAAAGGACCUUUCUGCUGGUGUCGAAGAUAAAAACCGCUAUUCACAUCCAACCGUUCUUUUGUAAACUGGUGAGUUUGCAUUGGUACCUCCUGGCUGGAAUUCCAAGGCAAAAGCUAUGGGACCUUUAUUUGUGUGUGUGUGUGCGCGCACGCGUGCACAUGUGUGAUUGUGCGAGUGUGUGUGUGAGUGUGCAUGUGUGUGGUGUGUGUGCGAGUGUGUGUGUGCAUGUAUGUGAAUGUGUUCAUGUGCAUGUGCAAGUGUGUGGUGUGUGUGUGCGCAAAUGUAUGCAUGUGCGUGUGCGAGUGUGUGGUGUGUGCGAGUGUGUGUGCACGUGUGUGUCAUGUGAGUUUUGUGUGUGCGAGUGUGUGCAUGUGUGGUGUGUGCAUGUGCGAGUGUGUGUGCAAAUGUGUCAGUGUGUGCAUGUGUGUGUGCGUGUGGUGUGUGUGCAUGUGUGUGAGUGUGUACGCGCGUGCAUGCUUAGGUGUGUUUAUGUGUGCAUGCGUGUGUUUUGUUAUGUGUUGUGACCACAAGGUACCAAAUUGGCUUAAAAAAAAAGGAGUGCCAAUAAAUUAAGUAAAUAAGUGCAAAUACUUUUCAAGUUCAUAUGACUUCAGUAAAUCUUUAAUAAAU
This 658-nucleotide long non-coding RNA is filed under the name Homo sapiens (human). RNAcentral's name for it is "HSALNT0156730". Lineage: Eukaryota; Metazoa; Chordata; Mammalia; Primates; Hominidae. The record is from RNAcentral.